Molecule: long non-coding RNA, 1299 nt
Filed under: Fukomys damarensis (Damara mole-rat)
Lineage: Eukaryota; Metazoa; Chordata; Mammalia; Rodentia; Bathyergidae
Description: lncRNA (ENSFDAG00000024071.1)
Source: RNAcentral
GAAAAGUAUAAAAGUAUGUCUGUUGUCUUCUUCCUGUAGAUACUUUUUUUAGAUUGACUAAUUGUGAUGGCUUCACUGUAUUAAUAUUUUGAGGUAAAUACAUUAUACUGAAGGGUUUAUUGUGAUAGUAAGAUAUAAAAAAUCCAUCUUUCAAACACUAUCCUUUAAAAGUUUGAAAAUUUUAGUUAAAAGUUUGUUAAAUGUUUUAGGUCAUCAUUGGUUAUUACGAAAUGUAGAGAACCCAGGAAGGAGUGGUGGUCCAGAUCAGCCCAUGUGCAUCCAGAUAUACAUCCUGACCCAGAGGCUUGGGCAAACCUGCCCAACCAAGGUCUGCUCAGGAAACUGCUGCACAGAUGCCCCAGCUUCAGUGAGAAGCCUGCCCCGCAGAAUGGGGAACUAAGAAGACAUUGAUUCCUAAAAUUAUGAAACAAAGGCCUUGAAGUUUAUUGUGCCAAACCUCAAAUUUUACUGGGUACAGCAGUUAGGUUCUUCUGAUUGACAUAAGACAACCUAAGCCUACAUGUAGUGCUGGUGACUAUUGAUCCAACCACAACUGAAAAAUGCCACAAUAUGAGGAAUGUUGGUUUAUUAAAGGAAAGGAAAGCUGCUCAUAUCAUGGCAGCCAGGAAGGAAUAGAAAAGGAAAGAGUUGGAGAGGAAAGGACCAGGGAUGAUAUAUAGACCCCAAGGUCAUGCCUUCAUAAUGCAUUUUGGUCAAGCAGGCCCCACCUCCUAAAUUUCCAACACUACCCAAGAAUACUGUCAAAUUAUGAUUUCAUCAAUGGACUAAUCUGAUGAAGUUGGAGCUUUCAUGAUCUAAUCACCUAAAAGUUCUUCCUCUGAAUGCAUGAGAAUUGGGGUCAUUUUUGAUCUAAACCACAACAGAUGUCAUGAACUGAUAAGACUACUGAAAAAAUGUAUUUUUGGUUAAAGCCAUGAAAAUAACCUUUUGGAAGUAUGGGUCUGAUGUGACUACAUAAUACCCAGAUGGAGAGACAGCAGUGGUACAGUUCGAGGAACCAUAAUCUGAAAAUCUGAAAUCUUAAAAGCACCAAAUUUUAAAACUUUUUGACCACCUAUAUGAUUCCAUAAGUGGAAAAACUACACUUAAGCUCAUGUUAUAGGUUGCAAUUAGCACAUAGAUUCACUAAAAAUAUUGCAUGAAAUUUCCUUCAGGCUAUGUAUAGAAGGUGUAUAAGAAACAAAUGUAUUUCAUGUUCAUAUUUGCAUCCCAUUCUGAAAUUUUUGUUAUGUAUAUAAGAACAUUCCAAAAUUGAAACAAUUCUAAACUAUGAAAAAG